RNAcentral lists this long non-coding RNA (534 nucleotides) under Ictidomys tridecemlineatus (thirteen-lined ground squirrel). RNAcentral describes it as "lncRNA (ENSSTOG00000034828.1)". Lineage: Eukaryota; Metazoa; Chordata; Mammalia; Rodentia; Sciuridae. The record is from RNAcentral.
AAGGCCAAUAGUCUCUUUUUCCCUCAGGUUUCCUAACUCAUGAAAAAACAAAAUCUAAUCUCCUCAGAUUGUAAAGACAGCAACUCUCAGCCUGGAGAUGAACUCUGAAGUGCAGAGACCUCGUGUGCUAUGAGGUAUCAAGGCUCACUCUGAAAUUUUUCUUGUUUAUUUUUAGUUGUCUCAGCACACAAAGUUCUCUCUGGCAAGUUCCAUUAAGAAAGACCCUGAAAUAUGAUUACAGUUGAGUUGGCUCACAGGACUUGGUUACAAAACUUCAACCAUCAAAUUAUUUUGCUUCCAGCCAAGUCAGAUCCAAGUUUUAGUUUUCAUCCACAAGCCCCCUGUCAUGAAGAGGUGGGGACAAAACAGAAGACUGCAACCGACAUUUGCCAACCUCCUUUCUCAUGGAGAGCUUCUGUGGAAUUCCAUGCCACCUUCCAUACAGCCUAUAUGCUCACUGUCGAGAGAGGAAAAAGUGCAAGAUGUAUCUGUGUAAUUUAUAACUUGAAUAUGACAUCCCAAAGUUGUGACUAA